CAGAGAGUAGUUUAAUAAAAAUUUUAGUUUUGGGAAUUGAAGAUAAAGUGUUCAUUUUCUCUCUGA
This 66-nucleotide transfer RNA is filed under the name Lomis hirta. Its description in RNAcentral is "tRNA-Pro". Lineage: Eukaryota; Metazoa; Arthropoda; Malacostraca; Decapoda; Lomidae. The record is from RNAcentral.